This 261-nucleotide ribosomal RNA is filed under the name uncultured bacterium. Its description in RNAcentral is "partial 16S ribosomal RNA". It matches the Rfam family "Bacterial small subunit ribosomal RNA", at positions 92 to 354 of the family's 1533-position model. The record is from RNAcentral.
CGACCGGCGCACGGGUGCGUAACGCGUAUGCAACCUACCAUCAACAGGGGGAUAACACUGAGAAAUUGGUACUAAUACCCCAUAAUAUCUCAUGCGGCAUCGCAUGGGGUUGAAAACUCCGGUGGUUGAUGAUGGGCAUGCGUUGUAUUAGCUGGUUGGUGAGGUAACGGCUCACCAAGGCGACGAUACAUAGGGGGACUGAGAGGUUAACCCCCCACAUUGGUACUGAGACACGGACCAAACUCCUACGGAAGGCAGCAG